Molecule: ribosomal RNA, 457 nt
Filed under: Periclimenaeus rastrifer
Lineage: Eukaryota; Metazoa; Arthropoda; Malacostraca; Decapoda; Palaemonidae
Description: partial large subunit ribosomal RNA
Rfam family: Bacterial large subunit ribosomal RNA
Source: RNAcentral
GGGCCGCGGUAAUUUGACCGUGCGAAGGUAGCAUAAUCAGUAGUCUUUUAAUUGGAGGCUUGUAUGAACGGUUGGAUGAGGGACAUUCUGUCUUUUUUCUAAUUUAAAAAUUUAACUUUUAAGUGAAAAGGCUUAAAUUGUUUGAAGUGACGAUAAGACCCUAUAAAACUUUAUACAUUUUGUGCUUUUCUUAGUAAUUAAGUAUAAAUUAAUAUCUGUGCCUGUGUAUUUCGUUGGGGAAACGUUGAUAUAAAUAUAAUUGUCUAGAAAAUCUAAUAAUUAUAAUUAGAUUGUGAUCCUUCGUUGUGGAUUAAAAGGUUAAGUUACUUUAGGGAUAACAGCGUAAUUUUCUUUGAGAGUUCUUAUCGACAAGAUUAGUUGCGACCUCGAUGUUGAAUUAAAAUUUCAAGUAGGUGUAGCCGCUUGCUUAGUGGGUCUGUUCGACCUUUAAAAUUUU